Molecule: ribosomal RNA, 40 nt
Filed under: Phytophthora infestans T30-4
Lineage: Eukaryota; Oomycota; Peronosporomycetes; Peronosporales; Peronosporaceae
Description: 8S ribosomal RNA
Source: RNAcentral
UCCCGUCUGCUCUGUGAAGUUAAGCAGCCUCAAGCUCGGG